UUUUGGAAGAGCUGCAAUACUGAAAAUGUGAAACUUCCUUCAUGAAGCUGACAAAACUGUUUGGCCCACGUGCCCUCAACUAGUUGGAGGCACCUGACCUACUAAGCCUAGAGGAGCUUUCUCGCCCAGCUGCAGAUUCAAACCAACACUGCCUUCCUUCCUUCCUUCCUUCGCCAGCAGAGAGACAACGGGCAGUUCAUCCCAUCUUAGAACAUGUGGGAAAACAGUCUCCUGCAGGUGAAUAUUACCCCCUGUUAGCCACAGCACUCCCAGAGAAGCAUCCCGGUGCUGGGGGUCCAUUUCCGAGGCUUUGA
This 314-nucleotide long non-coding RNA is filed under the name Numida meleagris (helmeted guineafowl). Its description in RNAcentral is "lncRNA (ENSNMEG00000017682.1)". The record is from RNAcentral. Lineage: Eukaryota; Metazoa; Chordata; Aves; Galliformes; Numididae.